This 55-nucleotide non-coding RNA is filed under the name Shigella sonnei. Lineage: Bacteria; Pseudomonadati; Pseudomonadota; Gammaproteobacteria; Enterobacterales; Enterobacteriaceae. RNAcentral also lists the same sequence under 1 other name. The record is from RNAcentral.
UGUGUGUAGUCUUGGCGGCAUCAGUUUUUUCUUGAAGUUCGACUGAUGUCCGCCC